This 329-nucleotide ribosomal RNA is filed under the name uncultured eukaryote. RNAcentral's name for it is "partial 18S ribosomal RNA". It matches the Rfam family "Eukaryotic small subunit ribosomal RNA", at positions 1470 to 1796 of the family's 1831-position model. The record is from RNAcentral.
CCCUUAGAUGUUCUGGGCCGCACGCGCGCUACACUGACGCAUUCAACGAGUACUGCACCUGGUCUGAUAGGGCUGGGUAAUCUUUUGAAUGUGCGUCGUGAUUGGGAUAAAUGAUUGUAAUUCUUCAUUUGCAACGAGGAAUGCCUAGUAAACGCAAGUCAUCAGCUUGCAUUGAUUACGUCCCUGCCCUUUGUACACACCGCCCGUCGCUCCUACCGAUUGAAUGGUCCGGUGAAGCGUUCGGACCGCUUCCUUUGGACGGGCAACCGUCUGUUGGUCGUGGGGAGUUCGUUAAACCUUAUCAUUUAGAGGAAGGAGAAGUCGUAACA